AGAUAAUGAAGUAAAAAUUACAUUUAGCUUCGACCUAAAACUUAGAGCCCACAGCUCCUUAUCUA
RNAcentral lists this transfer RNA (65 nucleotides) under Megacopta horvathi. RNAcentral describes it as "tRNA-Arg". Lineage: Eukaryota; Metazoa; Arthropoda; Insecta; Hemiptera; Plataspidae. The record is from RNAcentral.